AUGGAGUGGGGAAGGGCAGGCAGGGCAGGGCAAAUGAACAGGCAGCUUUGGGGGCUGGAGUUCAGACACAGAAAGCUUUUCUUCCAAACCCGGGUGAUUUCUAUGCACCACACAGUUUGUCUGUUGCCCUUCUGUUCAACAGUCUUGGCUACGUCUGAAGUGGGUCCUCCUAAGCCAUGUCAGCAAGGUCCAGCAUUCUGGUGCAGGGAUGCGGCUACAGCUGUUGCGUGUCACAAGGAGAAAUACUGCUUGGCCGGCGAGUGGAACACUUUGGAGGGACUCAUAGAGGGGGAAGCCGAAGCCCUUGCUCCGCUUUUUAAGUGCACCAUAUGCAAGAAGAUUGUCAAGAAACUCAGGGAUCUGGCUGGAGAUGACCCAGAUGAUGAAAAAGUUGACCGAGCAAUAAAAACCCUGUGUAAGGUCCUCGGCAAGUUCCUGCAGGGGCUCUGCAAAAGGUUUCUGAGACUGUACAAGGCAAAGCUGGUGAUGGAUCUGCAGAAUGGCAUGGAGACAGAUGAGAUCUGUGUCGAUCUCAAGAUAUGCAGGCCUGGCAUACAGGCACUACCAGGUCUGCCUCACUAUUAA
Varanus komodoensis (Komodo dragon) is the source of this 585-nucleotide long non-coding RNA. The record is from Ensembl. Lineage: Eukaryota; Metazoa; Chordata; Lepidosauria; Squamata; Varanidae.